Molecule: ribosomal RNA, 376 nt
Filed under: Nematoda sp.
Lineage: Eukaryota; Metazoa; Nematoda
Description: SSU rRNA
Rfam family: Eukaryotic small subunit ribosomal RNA
Source: RNAcentral
CUGAAUAACUGAGCCGAUCGCACGGUCCUCGUACCGGCGACAUAUCUUUCAAGUGUCUGCCCUAUCAACUUUCGAUGGUAGUUUAUAUGACUACCAUGGUUAUAACGGGUAACGGAGAAUAAGGGUUCGACUCCGGAGAAGCAGCCUGAGAAACGGCUACUACAUCUAAGGAAGGCAGCAGGCGCGCAAAUUACCCACUCUCGGCACGAGGAGGUAGUGACGAAAAAUAACGAGGCGGCGUCGCUGUGGGGCCCGCUAUCGGAAUGAGAACAAUUCAAAACCUUUAACGAGGAUCUAGCAGUGGGCAAGUCUGGUGCCAGCAGCCGCGGUAAUUCCAGCACUGCUAGUGUAUACCACGAGUACUGCGGUUAAAAAG